Long non-coding RNA from Ooceraea biroi (clonal raider ant), 445 nucleotides. RefSeq lists it as uncharacterized. The record is from RefSeq and is a predicted model, not a curated record. Lineage: Eukaryota; Metazoa; Arthropoda; Insecta; Hymenoptera; Formicidae.
GUGCGGGCUCUCCCGCACGCGAGAGCGGAGAACCGCGGUUAGAAAGCCUUCGCGCCGAGGUCGGAGCCAGUGCCUCGCCCGUGCAUGCCAUCAUCCGGGUGUCGAUGCGGCCGCUGCACGACACGCGCACGGUUCGCGGAGUAUGCACGGUGUCCGGAGUGUGCUGCUGGCAGUGUCGGGAGUCUGACCGAGCCCAGGUACGGUUCAGGCCAGCGACCAGCGUUGCACCAGUCGCUAUCCGGCCGCGCGUCAUCCCGUCGAAUCUGCCCGCUCGCUCGUACGAGCGAGCGUACGCGCGCGUGCUCCGUGCAGGUGAACCGUCGUGGUCGAGAUUCUGAUUGAGAUUCGGAAUUCCUCGGAGAGGACGUGCGCGAGAGGCGGUGAUCCCGCCUCCGAGGAGAAGAGAGCAGAGCGAGAGGAAGUGGACGCUGGAAGAGGAGAAAAA